Molecule: non-coding RNA, 435 nt
Organism: Camellia sinensis
Lineage: Eukaryota; Viridiplantae; Streptophyta; Magnoliopsida; Ericales; Theaceae
Source: RefSeq, a predicted model, not a curated record
CACUGGGACAUUUGCACAGCUUCCUAAUUAAUUUUGAAUUUUUUGGGGUUACUCCUCGGCUUUUCAUUGUCCUAAUUUCUGUUGCCAGUACUCAAGGCACGCAAGGAAUGUUUGGCUUGAUAGUACUUGAUCAUUUUGGUUGUGAUAGUGUGGGCCUAGUCAUGCUUGCAAUGUUGGUGGUGAGAUUGCUAUUGCCAUGCUUCAAAAGGUUCCAAGGUUUGUGGCCCGAAAUAUUUGAGGUGCUUUUUAAGUUCUCCUAACUGUUGUCCACAAGGAUGGUGAAUAGUCACAUAUUGUAUAUAUAUGUCCUUCAGGUUCUUGAGUGUAACAUAAAAAUAGUGUUAGUGUAAAUGAUAUCUCGUCCCUUGUUCAACCCAUAUGGAUAGAUUUCAGUCAAUGUGCAAUAAAAUUUCAAUUUGGAAGAAUUUGCUUAUU